ACAAUGAUGGUGUUUGAAGUGAAGAAAUUUUUGUUUUAAAAAUCCCUGUAGAUAAUAUAUACCAGAAAAAUAUGAAAGCAUAAGAUAUAUAUAUAAAGAACAAGCCAAAGGAGAAGAGAAGAGUCGAGUACAAGGUAGCUAACAAUUGUUCCAGGAGAUAUUAUACCCCGGGAUAUCUCGAGAGUCUGCGCGCGAGAAAAGGAAUGAUGAUACAUAGAACUCUUACUCGAGGGUGUGGUUUUAUUCAAUAUCAUUGGGUAUCGAUUACUUGUCGUCAGCACACGCCCUUAACUGCCCUUUUACCAUCCACCUUCUAUUCAACGAAUGAUAAAUUUUCAAACAAUGCAUCGAAGAUCCAAGGCUCCAGCGACGGCUGAUUUACCCAAAGUGCAGAAACAGAGUGGGAACAAGUCCAUCAGGAAAUGUUCUUGGAAAGAAUGCGGUAGCUUUGAUCCUCCCGACCACGGCAAUCAGCACUAGCAGAAGCAAAAGCGAGAGACUAUCCGUGGCCUGCAAGAACACAGAGUCUUUCAUCUUUUGCUCUAUCACGUAUCCCAAGGCAGAGCUGUCCUCUUCUUCUGAUGAAAAUGCAAAAUUCCACGGAAAAUUGAGGCGUCUUUUUAUUGGGAAAGCAAACUUUCGAGAAGCAUGCUCGGCAUUUUCCCAACUACCCUCAUUUACCCCCACCAAAAUCGGAUGUGACCCGGGAAAACUUGUUGCUCGCAAAUCGAAAAUGUCAGACAGUGGACGGGCGAGCAGGCAGACAGAAGCUGUGCCAGCUGUAAUCCCCAGUGCUACGGUAACCGUAUAUACGCAAGCUUCGUAUACAAUACAUUGCUUUUAUCUGUAUAUAUGUAUGUAUAAUAAUAUCUGUUAAAUAAAGGAGUGUGCGCUCGAGUGGGUGUUUAUGUGGACUGCGGAUUGGAUGCUGGAUCGAGAAAAUGGGAAAAAUUAAACGCCCGAAGGAUGAAUUUCCCUCAUGACUAGGCGCUCAUAAGCUCCAGAAAUAACUCCAGCGGGAUUUACAUUUUCCUGGCCAUUUUGCAUAAUCAAGCUUUAAUAUACUCCGACACAAAACAAUAUUCUUCAGUUUAUUCAUAGAUUUUUAAUAUAAAAUUCAACUGUCUCUUCAAGUGAAAAAAUUAUUUCUUCUUUUAAUUUUGCUCAUGAUCAAGCUUUAAUAUACUUCUCCCACACAAAACAAUACUCUCCACUCUGAAAAAAAAAUUAACUUGAAUCAAGAGAAAAUUUCUUGAACCAAGAAAAUAAUUUUGA
Cotesia glomerata is the source of this 1275-nucleotide RNA transcript. RefSeq lists it as uncharacterized. The record is from RefSeq and is a predicted model, not a curated record. The transcript has 4 exons. NCBI's taxonomy places the organism in Eukaryota, Metazoa, Arthropoda, Insecta, Hymenoptera, Braconidae.